This is an RNA transcript of Ictalurus furcatus (blue catfish), 2983 nucleotides long. It is a transcript of the gene named calcineurin-like EF-hand protein 2, with no coding region annotated. The transcript is spliced from 8 exons. The record is from RefSeq and is a predicted model, not a curated record. Lineage: Eukaryota; Metazoa; Chordata; Actinopteri; Siluriformes; Ictaluridae.
UGGGCGUGACUACUGCCAAUGUUUAACCUGGAAGCGUCGAUGCUGAUUGGUCCGAAUUCACGUCAAUCAUUAAGCUAACACAAGCUUGAGUGCGUUGACUGUUAGGGUGUGAUUGAGCGUUCUGUGGUCAUGAUUUGAGCACUGAACCGGUUUGUUAUAAUAAAGUACUCAGUAGUAGUGUAGCUGUGAUCAAAACAGGAGUAUGAAAUGGGCUCGACCAGCUCCGACAUGGCUAAAAUACCAAAUGCGGAGGAUUUAAUGCGAGAAACUGGUUUCACGCAUGCACACCUUGUUCGUCUGUAUGAGCGUUACCAAUCUCUGGACAAAGGCAACAAGGGUCAUCUCAGUGCACAGGACUUUGCAGCCAUAAAGGAGCUGGCCAUGAAUCCUAUAUGUGACAGAAUAAUAGGGGCCUUCUUCUCUUCAGGACAGGAAACCCUGGACUUCCCAUCAUUUGUGAGGAUCUUGGCACAUUUUCGUCCCAUCGAUAAGAACCGUUCCAAAGAGCCCAACUCGCCUGACCCCAUUAACAGCAGAAUCAACAAGCUGAAAUUUGCUUUUCAGUUGUAUGAUCAGGACAAGGACGGCAAGAUUUCCAGACAAGAGCUCUUACAGGUUCUCCAGGCCAUGCUGGAAAGCCAGGUAACUCAAGACCAACUGGAAUGCAUAGUAGACCGCACUAUCCAAGAGGCAGACCUGGACAACGAUGAUGCCAUAUCUUUUGAAGAGUUUCGGAAGUCUCUAGAAAAGGUCGACAUUGACCACAAGAUGAGUAUCCGCUUCCUGCGCUAAAGCAUGACGACCCUUCCAGAAAAGCUGAGAAUUAAGUGUGGUCUUCAGAGCCAGUGGUGAUGGUGACAAUGAAAAAACUCCCUAAGAUGAAAUCAGGAAGAAACCUUGAGAGGAACCAGACUCAGAAGGGAACCUGUCCUCAUCUGGGUAACAACGGAUAGUGGGAAGGUAAAAGAAAGUUUAUUAUGGUUUAUACAUGAAGUCUUUGUUGAACUAGUCCACUGUUCAGUAAAGGAGACCUGAGUGCAAAAGUGCAUGUGGUAAUUCCACAUGGAAAAAAAAAAAUGUUAAAAGGAAUGAUACUAUUAAUUAAAUGAGUGUCUUCAAAUAUUAGCAUCAGAUGGCAUUACAUUUUAAAUUGCAGAUUUUUUUGUGAUGUAAAAAAAAAAUUUAACCAAGACAAAUCAUGUCAGAUCUUUUCCCACCUUUAAUGUGAUUAUAGCAACCAACAAAAUGCAAGUGAAAAACUACUAGAAAUGUUUUAGGAAAGAAAAAGACAAAACUUACAAUAACCUGGUUGCAUAAGUAUGCAUAAAGCACCUUUUGCUUGUGAUACAAAUUUACUCUACCAAAUUAGCACAUCCUCAUUUGGGGAAUUUUAUUUUUAAUACUCUUACUUGCAAAAAUGCUCCAGAUCUAUUAAACGGCGAGGGGAUCUCCUGUACACAGCCCUCUUCAAGACCUUCUACAGGAUUUCAAUAGGAUGUAGAUCUGGACGCUAAAACAUCCAUCAUCUUCUUCUGAAGCUAUUCUUUUGUCGACUUUGAUUUGUGCUUCAGGGUCAUUCUCAUGCUGCAAGGUAAAAGUUAUCUUCAACUGUCUAAUAGAGGUUUGCAGGUUUUGUGCCAAAGUAGACUGGUAUUUGGAGCCAUCCCUGAUUCCCUCUAUCUUGACUAGAGACCCUGUCCCAGCUGAAGAGAAUCAUAAUAACUGCUAUGUCCAUAUUUGGUAUAAGCUUAUCUGCUGAAGACUAAGUCAUUGCAUGUUAUGUUCACGUUUAUACCAUUUUUAAAUUAUAUUGUUACUCUUUGGCACCUAUCUUCUGCACUACCUGUUAUAUCAGACACUUCCACACUAAAACUGUGUAUUGUUUGGCGCUACACUGUCACUUACUGUGCCUAUUGUCCUGUUUUAGUAGUAUUGUACUGUCCUGCGUUGUUAGCACACAUCUGCACAUGCACUUCGUGUAGAAUGUGUAGAUGUUAUUUAGUUCUGUGUCGUCUCAUGUGGUUAGUGUUUUGUUUUAUGUAACAGCAUGGUCCUGGAGGAAUGUUAUUUCGUUUCACUGCGUACUGUACCAGCUGUAUAUGGUUGAAAUGACAAUAAAACCACUUGAACUCAGCGCAAUAGCAGUUACUUUCGAACACAAGUAUGAAUGUGUUUAGUUCAUUCUUAGCACAAUCACAUGCCACAAUUACAAAAGGGUGUGCACAUUUAUGCACUCAGCUUCUUGUAAGGUUUUUUUUCCCCCCCCUUGAAUUUUGUUGGUUGUUAUUCACAAAAAUCUGCAGUUUUAACAGGGGUGUGUAGAUGUUUUAUAUCCACUGUAGUUUUUUGAGUAGAUGUACUGCCCAAUACAUACAGUUUAACAUGACAUUUAUAGUGGUGCUGGACUUAAUUCUGCUCCUGGCUGGUGUGGAAAUCAGAGUUCAAGGUGAGAAUGGCAUGUAAAUGAAAAGCACAUUUGUUUUUUCAACAGUCUCAGCCUGCGUGUGUAAUUCCUGCACAACUCUCUGAAUAACACUUAUAAAAGCAAUAGGCUGUGGUUAAGUCUGUGGUCUGACUAGCAGUGUGUGCAAUUUUGGUAUUAAAUCCUCAUUAUGCACAAUGAACUCAACUUUGAAUACAGAUCUAAAUCCAAAGUUAUCCAUUCACACUUUUCAGUUCAGAAUCUAAAAGGGUGAACGAGUGAUUGUAUAUAAGAGUGGACAACAUGGCACCAUUCAUCCGUCCAUCCAUCUUCUAUACCGCUUAAUCCUUUUCAGGGUCAAGGGGAAACCUGGAGCCUAUCUCAGGGAGCAUCAGGCACGAGGCGAGGUACACCCUGGACAGGGACAACAUGGCACCAUUCACUCCUAUUAUGCAGUUUUAAAGCUUUUUUUUUUCCUUCAAAAUGAGAGCCAUUACUUUGUGAAAAUUGGAGCCAGAGUCUGUGUAGUAGAGACCUUGGAGCUGGAGCAUGCACAGUAGA